Molecule: ribosomal RNA, 254 nt
Filed under: uncultured bacterium
Lineage: Bacteria
Description: partial 16S ribosomal RNA
Rfam family: Bacterial small subunit ribosomal RNA
Source: RNAcentral
UACGGGGGGAGCAAGCGUUGUUCGGAUUUACUGGGCGUAAAGGGCGCGUAGGCGGCCACCGCAAGUCGAUUGUGAAAUCUCCGGGCUUAACCCGGAAAGGUCAACCGAUACUGCGGGGCUAGAGUGCAGAAGGGGCAACUGGAAUUCUCGGUGUAGCGGUGAAAUGCGUAGAUAUCGAGAGGAACACCUGCGGCGAAGGCGGGUUGCUGGGCUGACACUGACGCUGAGGCGCGAAAGCGUGGGGAGCGAUCCGG